Molecule: long non-coding RNA, 220 nt
Filed under: Solanum tuberosum (potato)
Lineage: Eukaryota; Viridiplantae; Streptophyta; Magnoliopsida; Solanales; Solanaceae
Description: long non-coding RNA (STUB_LNC003858)
Source: RNAcentral
GGAGGGUAUUUGAUCCUGACAUUCUCAAAGAACAUGGUAUGUCUACCCUUUAUGACUUUGUCUCCCUGCAAAGUUGGGAACACCUGUUUUAAGGUCCAACACCUUAUUUGGAUGAACCAAAAGUGCGGGAGUUCUAUUAUAAAAUGGAGCUCCUUGAUGAUGGAGUCAUUCAGACAACUGUACGUGAGGUAAAAAUCUCACUAAAUGAAUAAAACUUGGG